GCCGGAGUGGCGGAAUGGCAGACGCGUCGGAUUCAAAAUCCGAUUCUCGCAAGGGAGUGGGGGUUCGAGUCCCCCCUCCGGCA
RNAcentral lists this transfer RNA (83 nucleotides) under Planctomycetota bacterium. RNAcentral's name for it is "tRNA-Leu". It matches the Rfam family "tRNA". From Rfam's summary of the family: Transfer RNA (tRNA) molecules are approximately 80 nucleotides in length. Their secondary structure includes four short double-helical elements and three loops (D, anti-codon, and T loops). The record is from RNAcentral. Lineage: Bacteria; Pseudomonadati; Planctomycetota.